AAACCAACAGGGAUUGCCUCAGUAACGGCGAGUGAAGCGGCAAAAGCUCAAAUUUGAAAUCCUUCGGGAGUUGUAAUUUGUAGGUUGGGAGACCCCGCGGCUAGUGGCACCAAGUCCCUUGGAACAGGGCGCCUUAGAGGGUGAGAGCCCCGUAGGUACCACAACACCGUCUUGUGUCUCCUCUCCAAAGAGUCGAGUUGUUUGGGAAUGCAGCUCAAAGUGGGUGGUAAAUUCCAUCUAAAGCUAAAUACCGGCGAGAGACCGAUAGCGAACAAGUACAGUGAUGGAAAGAUGAAAAGCACUUUGAAAAGAGAGUGAAACAGUACGUGAAAUUGUUGAAAGGGAAGGGCUUGCAAGCAGACACGGCCUUCGUGCCGGGCCAGCAUCGGUUGCUAGGGGUGGAUAAGGAACAAGGAAUGUAGCUCCUCGGAGUAUUAUAGCCUUGCGCGAUACACCCACUGGCGACCGAGGCCUGCGGUAUUCCUACCUAGGAUGCUGGCGUAAUGGUUGCAAGCCGC
Molecule: ribosomal RNA, 518 nt
Filed under: Sungouiella pseudointermedia
Lineage: Eukaryota; Fungi; Ascomycota; Pichiomycetes; Serinales; Metschnikowiaceae
Description: eukaryotic LSU rRNA
Rfam family: Eukaryotic large subunit ribosomal RNA
Source: RNAcentral